GCUUACGGCCAUACCAACCUGAAAGCGCCCGAUCUCGUCAGAUCUCGGAAGCUAAGGAAGGUCGGGCCUGGUUAGUACUUGGAUGGGAGACUUCCUGGGAAUACCAGGUGCUGUAAGCA
RNAcentral lists this ribosomal RNA (119 nucleotides) under Hucho hucho (huchen). The record is from RNAcentral. Lineage: Eukaryota; Metazoa; Chordata; Actinopteri; Salmoniformes; Salmonidae.